Long non-coding RNA from Aplysia californica (California sea hare), 1165 nucleotides. RefSeq lists it as uncharacterized. NCBI's taxonomy places the organism in Eukaryota, Metazoa, Mollusca, Gastropoda, Aplysiida, Aplysiidae. The transcript has 2 exons. The record is from RefSeq and is a predicted model, not a curated record.
UAUGACCUUAUUGUGUUGAAAGUGCCGUAAAACUCUUGCUAAAACUAAAACUGUAAAACUAAAUUGUGUGUGUGGAACAACUCUGAUAGAUUGACAGUCAGUGCGGUGUGUGUGUGUGUGUGUACCUCUGCUGAUGUAACACGCCUGUGUUUUUGACUGCCUGCUUUGUGUCUAUUACGUGUAGCGGAUGGUCAUUUGUGUACAGGUAUUAAUUGAAUGCGUGCGAUUGUCAUUUGUACUGGUGUUAGCUGAAUGUGUGUGACCGUCUUUUUUAUACGUGUCGGUUAAUUGUAUGUGACAGUUGAUGGUCAUUUGUACAGGUGUUAGCUGAAUGUGUGUGAUGGUUGAUGGUCAUUUGUACAGGUGUUAGCUGAAUGUGUGUGACCGUCUUUUUUAUACGUGUCGGUUAAUUGUAUGUGACAGUUGAUGGUCAUUUGUACAGGUGUUAGCUGAAUGUGUGUGAUGGUUGAUGGUCAUUUGUACAGGUGUUAGCUGAAUGUGUGUGACCGUCUUUUUUAUACGUGUCGGUUAAUUGUAUGUGACAGUUGAUGGUCAUUUGUACAGGUGUUAGCUGAAUGUGUGUGAUGGUUGAUGGUCAUUUGUACAGGUGUUACCUGAAUGUGUGUGAUGGUCAUUUGUACCAGUGUUAGCUGAAUGUGUAUGAUGGUCAUUUUUAUGUGUGUCGGUUAAUUAUGUGUGAUGGUUGAUGGUCAUUUUUAUACGUGGCGGUUAAUUAUGUGUGAUGGUUGAUGGUCAUUUGUACCGGUGUCUGUUAAUUGUGUAUGAUGGUCAUUUGUACAGGUGUUAGCUAAAUGUGUGUGAUGGUCAUUUGUACCGGUGUCUGUUAAUUGUGUAUGAUGGUCUUUUGUACAGGUAUCAGUUAAUUGUGUAUGAUGGUCUUUUGUAUUUGUACAGGUGUUAGGUGAAUGUGUGUCAUGGUCAUUUGUACCGGUGUUAGGUGAAUGUGUGUCAUGGUCAUUUGUACCGGUGUUAGGUGAAUGUGUGUCAUGGUCAUUUGUACCGGUGUUUGCUGAAUGUGUAUACCGAUGUUUCCUUGUCUUGCCACGAUUAUUUUGUUCUUCUCUCCGCUCCGAGCUCGCAGAUUGUUCUAUGCCAAUGUGACCUGUACCGUAUACAAAAUGUCGUUAAAAAAUCUUCUAUAUUA